CGCACACACACACACACACACACACACACACACACACACACACACACACACACACACACACACACACACACACACACACACACACACACACACACACACAUAUACGCCCACACACAUAUGCAAACACUGCAAACACGCGCACACACACACAACCUUCGGGACAGCUGGUGACCGGGGGAGAGCAAGGCAACCGCAGAAGGUUACUCUAAACACCGGUGAUUGCACCCUGCUGUCCAUUCAGGAAUUAUUCUCUUCUCUCAACCAAUCAGAUCGUGCACUCAGACUGCCCAUUCAUAAAGAAACAGCACUGAGUUCCGCAUGUGUUUGGUCUAACUAUGGAGGAUCUGUGAGCGUUUUCUCAGCCUUAACGUGGACCAUAUGACAUCCAUCAGAAGCAGCAGUGUUAGCUGAGAUUUUUAUUUUUUUCACUUACCCUCUCGGAGCAUUUCCUCCUGACGUCUGGAAGCCUCUUACCAGGUUUGAAAGGUCCCCUUCUCAUUCUCUAUGACUCUCACUGUCUCGGUAUGUCUGUCUCUCUGUCUGUUUCCCUCUUCUUCCUCCUCUUUUUCUCUGUCCCCGCUCUCUCUCUAGCAGAUAAUCUGGGGUUCCCCUCCAGUUUGCCACUCUCAGGAAUAGAGAGAGAGAGAGAGAGAGAGAGAGAGAGAGAGAUAAUUGUCUCUCACCCUUCCACAACUUCACAGUUUCUGUGAAACUAAACUAAACCAAAUUCAAAAGAAUCUGUCCUUACAUCUUUCUUUCUUUCUUUCUUUCUUUCUUUCUUUCUUUCUUUCUUUCUUUCUUUCUUUCUUUCUUUCUUUCUUUCUUUCUUUCUUUCUUUCUUUCUUUCUUUCCUUCUUUCUCUGUCAGUAUUUUUUUCUACUCCAGUUGCAUUCUGUUACUGAGUGUAAUCAGUAACAGGCUUAAAGUGACAGCGCUGUGCUGUGCUGAAGCCGACACACUCUCUUUCUCUCUCUCUCUCUCUCUCUCUCUCUCUCUCUCUCUCUCUCUCUCUGUGUGUAUGAGUCCCUCUGGGAUAAAGGUGCUUUCCCAGCACACUCGAGACACCGCUGCCGACCACGCUCUCACAGCCCGGCCCUGCCGAGAGAAACUACUAUCAUAUGUUACACAGCACUAAGACUCUCCUUCUCCCUCAGUCUC
This 1158-nucleotide long non-coding RNA is filed under the name Salmo salar (Atlantic salmon). Its description in RNAcentral is "lncRNA (ENSSSAG00000106412.1)". Lineage: Eukaryota; Metazoa; Chordata; Actinopteri; Salmoniformes; Salmonidae. The record is from RNAcentral.